This 1315-nucleotide long non-coding RNA is filed under the name Pan troglodytes (chimpanzee). RNAcentral's name for it is "long non-coding RNA NONPTRT015821". Lineage: Eukaryota; Metazoa; Chordata; Mammalia; Primates; Hominidae. The record is from RNAcentral.
CCUGGAUUUGUAUGUUAGGCCAGGACAGGGGGCCAAAUCAUCUCCAGUCGGAUUCCAGUGACUCCUGUAACCAAAACCAGUUCUUCACAAUUUAUUCAUUUUUUUAAUCACACACCAUAUGGUUUCAAUGCAUUUUUUUAUUCAAUUCAAAAGAAUUUAACAAGUUAACUUUUCCCAAACAAAAGUUUUCAUGUGUAUUCUACCGUUUUUAGGAGCUCAGUAAAUAUAAACAUUGUUUCAAUACAAAACCUUUAAAAACACCUUGAAAAUGUUUAAACAGUUGUAUUUUGCAUGUCUUUGUUUGUAAUCACUGAGCCCAUACAAAUCCUUGCACUACUAACAGUCACAAGCUUGAACCUCUUAAAAAAUAUCCUCGAUCAAAGCUUUGGAAUCCAGAAAAAAUUAGGAAACGAGUGGGCUUCAGAAUACCCUGAGCACAAACUAGUGCAACACCACAUGUUCGAACUUCUGUCCAGAAAGAGGGGUGACAGUGAAAUAGAAAAAGGGGGAGAUAAAGAACAAGUAAAUUCUGGCUUUAUUACACAAGCACGAAACCAAAUUCCUUUGGAAAAAUAAUGUCUUCGGAGGACUUCCAGACCAGUGAGGUAGAGUCCAACAGUGAGAAAACGGAUCUGCCCCUAAGGUCCUGGAGACGUCUCAAUCGGGGGUCAGGAAGAAAGGGACCUCCCCUGCGGGUCCAGCUGUCCCCUCCCUCCGCAGGCCGGGUACGGGAGGCAGCAGAGGACACACCUGCCCCGGCGUCCAAGACGACCGCGCCGCGGCCCGGGACAGGGACAACCAUCCGGCAACUUCUUCGCGCGUAAAGUGCACUGGGGGCCGGGGUCCUGGCCGGAUCUGUAAACACUCGACUGACACUUGUUCAUUCCUCCGGGCGGAAGGUCUGUCCCAAGGUCGGGGCCGGCAGGAGGCGCCCUGGAGGCCGCGCCUCAUGCCCGGGGCACCGGGAAGCGGCGGAGCCUCACCGUGGGUUCCAGGUUCACUCGCAGGACCUGGCGCGCCCUGCGCCGCGCUGCCGCCAGGCUGCGCUCGCCCCACACGUCGCUGCCGACACGGAUGGUGGGGAAGGUGGUCAGCGUCGGGGUGGCCGCCCUCCAGAUCUCCUCCAAGACGUCCUUGCUGCGCAGGAUGUGCGGGGAGAACUGGUGCUUGAGGCUGCAGAGGAAGCUCCAGAGCUCCGCGUCCGAGCUCAUGAACUCCGUGCUGCGGGGCAUGAAGAGCUUGAAGGCGUCGCCCAGCGCCUUGGUGCUGUCAGCCAGCGACAGUUGCGACCGCGAGUACACCACCUUCUCCUCCC